UUUUGUUUUGUAUCUACUCUACUUUAGCAGCCAGGAUCCGGGUUGCAUUUCACUUUCUUAUACUCAGUCAUACACACCAAUCUUGUCAUAUUGGACUCCAAAAACCAUACACAAGCUUAUUAUGGCUUUCCCAAGUUUUGUAAGUGAGGACGAAGUCCCUAUGAGUUUUUUUGUUUUGUAUCUACUCUACUUUAGCAGCCAAGAUCCGGGUUGCAUUUCACUUUCUUAUACUCAGUCAUACACACCAAUCUUGUCAUAUUGGACUCCAAAAACCAUACACAAGCUUAUUAUGGCUUUCCCAAGUUUUGUAAGUGAGGACGAAGUCCCUAUGAGUUUUUUUGUUUUAUAUCUACUCUACUUUAGCAGCUAGGAUACGGGUUGCAUUUCACUUUCUUAUACUCAGUCAU
This 407-nucleotide long non-coding RNA is filed under the name Arabidopsis lyrata. RNAcentral's name for it is "long non-coding RNA (ALYR_LNC000046)". Lineage: Eukaryota; Viridiplantae; Streptophyta; Magnoliopsida; Brassicales; Brassicaceae. The record is from RNAcentral.